Danio rerio (zebrafish) is the source of this 47-nucleotide non-coding RNA. Lineage: Eukaryota; Metazoa; Chordata; Actinopteri; Cypriniformes; Danionidae. The record is from Rfam.
CCAAAGGCUCUUUUCAGAGCCACCUCAAUAUAUCAUAAAAGAAGCAU